Osmia lignaria (orchard mason bee) is the source of this 1586-nucleotide non-coding RNA. NCBI's taxonomy places the organism in Eukaryota, Metazoa, Arthropoda, Insecta, Hymenoptera, Megachilidae. The record is from RefSeq and is a predicted model, not a curated record.
GGGGUGGUAAGCGUCGGUGGCGCCUCCAAAUCUCUGACUGGUGGGGGAUCGUGUGGCAGCAGGGGCGGCAGACGCGACGCCGCGAACCCGGCUCUCCUCAGUCGACGUCAAACCGUCGCGACGCGUACGUGUUCUCUUUCGUCGGUUUCGCAAAGCUCAUAAGACUCGCGUGUCUCGUACAGCGUGACUCGUCGCUCGUGUUCGGCCACCUGUUCGCUCCAGAAGCUCGGAUCGGGAAGCAGACCGAAGAAGCUUAUCUAGGCGACUGGUGCACGUGUAUCUGACAAGGGAUACCUACAAUUUCUUCGUCGCAAGCGUACUUAGGAUAGAAUUACCGCGAUUCCCGUAGUGCGUGUGUGGUGAGGUGCCUUGACGAAAUCUCCUUUGGCUAAACUGGAGCAGUGCGCGAUCGGUACGUGUUGGUUCACGAGUAGAGUCGUACGGUGUGAAGAAAAAUCAACAGUGCCAGUCGCCAGUGAAAACGUCAGUGAGAAAGAAUCACUCUUUGAUAUUCAGUGUGAAACACCUUUUGGAUUAUGACUAUCGGAUGACACUUGGCAUGCGGUCGUCGUAGGGUCGACGCAUCACCACGUCCACCCUCGUGCUCGCCAAACAGUCAUCAUGAUCACGAAUGGGCAGCUAAAGAACGUCGUCAUAGUUCACGGCACGUCGUAUAACGUGUAAAAUUCUGCUAGUCCCGCACUAAGUAUCAGCUUUCGGAGGAUUUGAUACUCGGUGGACAGUGAAAAAGAAUCGAAGGCAUGAAGAGGAAAUCGAAAGGCGUGUCGGGUGUUUGGUGAAAAAGUAUCGAAGAAAGCCGAGCGUUAAGCGAGCUUAAACGCGAACAACCGUAGAGUUAGCUGUUGUGAGGUGAAAACGUGUCUGGUUCGUUCGUGAGGGAUGCGGCCCAUGGGCGAAGGGUGGGGUCUUUGGGCACCGAUAAGGCUUAUCCGAAGAUACCAUGGCCGCCUGGCUGCUCGGCUCUCCUCGUCAGUCAUAGUGCUCAGGUGGCGUCGACGAGAUCGUCGUUCGGUUUAGCUUUACGCGAGUUCGCGCCUAUUACACGAAUUCCACGACCGUGUCCCGUUUCAUGAACGAGGAUUAAAAGCCAGCCACGUAAGCACGAGAGGAUCUCGAAGAAGUGGCGGUGGAAGGGUGGAGGAGCUGCAGCUGAAAAACAGCGAUUCGAGGAUUCGUGACGUCGAUUAUUGGGAUUCUACGAUCUCGAUUCGGACGUUUCACGUUGCAUCGACCCAGUUUCCCUUAAAAUCUCUUCUAAAAGGGAACGCUCGUUAGAAACGAAUCAGUGUCCGUAGUUGUGCAUCCGUAUUUCGUGAAGAAGUGUAUGCUUUUUUUGUGUCGACUAUCGGAUAACUCGUGAUUAUAUUCGGUAAUUCGUGUAAUUUGCCCGGGCAAAGGUGCGUCUUUUACGUUUCGCGUUGUUUACGCCGGUUUAUUCGUACGCGAACGGUAGAGUUUGAGGGUUGACACCUUCAAACCGGAAACGAAGAAUAAUCCUGUCUUCCUCAAGGAUAAACGAGGCCGAGGGAAGGGGUCAUCGAGAGCCGGUCGCUAGAAGGACUCCU